AGAAAGAUAAGCUAAAAAAAGCUAAUGGGUUCAUACCCCAUAUAUAGAGGUUUUACCCCUCUUCUCUCUA
This 70-nucleotide transfer RNA is filed under the name Capnia zijinshana. RNAcentral describes it as "tRNA-Met". It matches the Rfam family "tRNA". Rfam says of the family: Transfer RNA (tRNA) molecules are approximately 80 nucleotides in length. Their secondary structure includes four short double-helical elements and three loops (D, anti-codon, and T loops). Lineage: Eukaryota; Metazoa; Arthropoda; Insecta; Plecoptera; Capniidae. The record is from RNAcentral.